This 430-nucleotide ribosomal RNA is filed under the name Pseudomonadota bacterium. RNAcentral describes it as "Proteobacteria bacterium partial 16S ribosomal RNA". It matches the Rfam family "Bacterial small subunit ribosomal RNA", at positions 355 to 776 of the family's 1533-position model. Lineage: Bacteria; Pseudomonadati; Pseudomonadota. The record is from RNAcentral.
UGGGGAAUAUUGGACAAUGGGGGGAACCCUGAUCCAGCCAUGCCGCGUGUGUGAAGAAGGCCUUAUGGUUGUAAAGCACUUUAAGCGAGGAGGAGGGUACUGGUAUUAAUACUACCAGGUACUGGACGUUACUCGCAGAAUAAGCACCGGCUAACUCUGUGCCAGCAGCCGCGGUAAUACAGAGGGUGCGAGCGUUAAUCGGAUUUACUGGGCGUAAAGCGUGCGUAGGCGGCUAAUUGAGUCGGAUGUGAAAUCCACGAGCUUAACUUGGGAAUUGCAUUCGAUACUGGUUAGCUAGAGUGUGGGAGAGGAUGGUAGAAUUCCAGGUGUAGCGGUGAAAUGCGUAGAGAUCUGGAGGAAUACCGAUGGCGAAGGCAGCCAUCUGGCCUAACACUGACGCUGAGGUACGAAAGCAUGGGGAGCAAACAGG